AGCGUUGUGCAGGGGCCAGAUCGUGGCCCAUCAGGCUGAUCUGAAGCAUGAUUAUUGCUGAUGGAAAAUUUUUCCCAAAGAGGGAACCUUUUUUUAAUCCACGUAAAAAAUUCUGCAUAGCUCGGUAAGACC
Molecule: small nuclear RNA, 132 nt
Filed under: Canis lupus dingo (dingo)
Lineage: Eukaryota; Metazoa; Chordata; Mammalia; Carnivora; Canidae
Description: U4 spliceosomal RNA (ENSCAFG00020022618.1)
Source: RNAcentral